This 253-nucleotide ribosomal RNA is filed under the name uncultured bacterium. RNAcentral's name for it is "partial 16S ribosomal RNA". It matches the Rfam family "Bacterial small subunit ribosomal RNA", at positions 524 to 776 of the family's 1533-position model. The record is from RNAcentral.
UACGUAGGCAGCGAGCGUUGUUCGGAGUUACUGGGCGUAAAGAGUGCGUUGGCGGUUUUCUAAGUUUGGUGUGAAAUCUCCCGGCUCAACUGGGAGGGUGCGCCGAAGACUGGAAGGCUUGAGUAUGGGAGAGGUAAGCGGAAUUCCUGGUGUAGCGGUGAAAUGCGUAGAUAUCAGGAGGAACACCUGCGGUGUAGACGGCUUACUGGACCAUAACUGACGCUGAGGCACGAAAGCGUGGGUAGCAAACAGG